Molecule: long non-coding RNA, 672 nt
Organism: Drosophila pseudoobscura
Lineage: Eukaryota; Metazoa; Arthropoda; Insecta; Diptera; Drosophilidae
Exons: 2
Source: RefSeq, a predicted model, not a curated record
UGGAUGUGCCAAGUAUCGACUUGGAUUACGAUGAAUUUCAUAUCGAUGGACACGUAUGUUCGCCAGCCCUGGCUACUGUUUUUCUCUUUGGGGGUUGCACAUUGUUGCUAAUACUUUCUAGAGAAUUUUUUUGUGUUGAGAACUUAAUUGGGAAGAGUCCGCAGCAGGCCAUUAUAAAUCACAAAACUGGUUUAAACACUUAAAAAGUUUUAUUCAAAAUUCGUGCUCAAUUACAUAUGCAUUUACAAAUAAAGCGCCACGGAAUGUUUUCCCAUCAAAUUACUUUGUAGCUCACAAUUCAAUUGGAGGAGAGGAUGAUGCAUGGAGAUAUACAAUAAACGGGCAAUAAUACAAAAGUAAACGUUUUCAAACUAAUUUAAAUCAUACUUAUGACAUAGUACCUACGAUACACUCAUUUAUAAAAAAAAACCUACUACCAAUAACACAACAUUCAAAGCGUAUUUUGUUAGGGUAGUCCUGGAGAUAAAGCCUCGUCGCAACCACUUUCGAGGACGCGAAACCAACGGAAUCAGAAUUGUACCGUUAUUUGUCCAGAACAGUGUUGGGUAAGACAACACACAAUUUUUUUGGCUGGGCGGGUGACUGUUCGGUGAGUCUAAGUGUGUGAGAGUAUGGGGGUGUGUGGUGGGCGUUGAUUUAGACCGCGAAAAA